AUACGGAGGGGGUUAGCGUUGUUCGGAAUCACUGGGCGUAAAGCGCACGUAGGCGGACUGGAAAGUUGGGGGUGAAAUCCCGGGGCUCAACCCCGGAACUGCCUCCAAAACUUCCAAUCUAGAGAUCGAGAGAGGUGAGUGGAAUUCCAAGUGUAGAGGUGAAAUUCGUAGAUAUUUGGAGGAACACCAGUGGCGAAGGCGGCUCACUGGCUCGAUACUGACGCUGAGGUGCGAAAGCGUGGGGAGCAAACAGGAUUAGAAACCCCGGUAGUCC
Molecule: ribosomal RNA, 274 nt
Filed under: uncultured bacterium
Lineage: Bacteria
Description: partial 16S ribosomal RNA
Rfam family: Bacterial small subunit ribosomal RNA
Source: RNAcentral